AGUGAACGCUGGCGGUAGGCCUAACACAUGCAAGUCGAGCGGAAGCACAGUAAGAGCUUGCUCUUACGGGUGGCGAGUGGCGGGCGGGUGCGAGAAACAUCCGAGUCUGCUUUUUAGUGGGGGCUAACGUAGGGGAUCUUACGCCAAUACCGCAUAGGGCGUACGGGGGGAAUCUGGGGACCUUCGGAUCUUGGAUGAGUCUAGGUGGCGAUGUCGGAUUAGCUAGUUGGCGGGGUAAAGGCCCACCAAGGCGACGAUCCGUAGCUGGGCUGAGAGGAUGAUCAGCCACACUGGAACUGAGACACGGUCCAGACUCCUACGGGAGGCAGCAGUGGGGAAUAUUGGACAAUGGGCGAAAGCCUGAUCCAGCCAUACCGCGUGUGUGAAGAAGGCCUUCGGGUUGUAAAGCCCUUUUGUUGGGAAAGAAAAGCAGCAGGUUAAUACCUCGCUGUUCUGACGGUACCAAAAGAAUAAGCACCGGCUAACUUCGUG
This 492-nucleotide ribosomal RNA is filed under the name uncultured bacterium. RNAcentral describes it as "partial 16S ribosomal RNA". It matches the Rfam family "Bacterial small subunit ribosomal RNA", at positions 29 to 507 of the family's 1533-position model. The record is from RNAcentral.